AGAACGAACGCUGGCGGCAUGCCUAACACAUGCAAGUCGAACGAGACCUUCGGGUCUAGUGGCGCACGGGUGCGUAACGCGUGGGAAUCUGCCCAAAGGUUCGGAAUAACUCAGGGAAACUUGAGCUAAAUACCGGAUGAUGUCGCAAGACCAAAGAUUUAUUGCCUUUGGAUGAGCCCGCGUAGGAUUAGCUUGUUGGUGAGGUAAAGGCUCACCAAGGCUACGAUCCUUAGCUGGUCUGAGAGGAUGAUCAGCCACACUGGGACUGAGACACGGCCCAGACUCCUACGGGAGGCAGCAGUGGGGAAUAUUGGACAAUGGGCGAAAGCCUGAUCCAGCAAUGCCGCGUGAGUGAUGAAGGCCUAGGGUUGUAAAGCUCUUUCGCACGCGACGAUAAGUGACGGUAGCGUGAGAAGAGCCCGCUAACUCGCGCCAGCAGCCGC
RNAcentral lists this ribosomal RNA (443 nucleotides) under uncultured bacterium. RNAcentral's name for it is "SSU rRNA". It matches the Rfam family "Bacterial small subunit ribosomal RNA", at positions 26 to 518 of the family's 1533-position model. The record is from RNAcentral.